Molecule: ribosomal RNA, 882 nt
Filed under: Pseudomonas koreensis
Lineage: Bacteria; Pseudomonadati; Pseudomonadota; Gammaproteobacteria; Pseudomonadales; Pseudomonadaceae
Description: bacterial SSU rRNA
Rfam family: Bacterial small subunit ribosomal RNA
Source: RNAcentral
GCAGUCGAGCGGAUGAGAGGAGCUUGCUCCUGGAUUCAGCGGCGGACGGGUGAGUAAUGCCUAGGAAUCUGCCUGGUAGUGGGGGACAACGUUUCGAAAGGAACGCUAAUACCGCAUACGUCCUACGGGAGAAAGCAGGGGACCUUCGGGCCUUGCGCUAUCAGAUGAGCCUAGGUCGGAUUAGCUAGUUGGUGAGGUAAUGGCUCACCAAGGCGACGAUCCGUAACUGGUCUGAGAGGAUGAUCAGUCACACUGGAACUGAGACACGGUCCAGACUCCUACGGGAGGCAGCAGUGGGGAAUAUUGGACAAUGGGCGAAAGCCUGAUCCAGCCAUGCCGCGUGUGUGAAGAAGGUCUUCGGAUUGUAAAGCACUUUAAGUUGGGAGGAAGGGUUGUAGAUUAAUACUCUGCAAUUUUGACGUUACCGACAGAAUAAGCACCGGCUAACUCUGUGCCAGCAGCCGCGGUAAUACAGAGGGUGCAAGCGUUAAUCGGAAUUACUGGGCGUAAAGCGCGCGUAGGUGGUUUGUUAAGUUGGAUGUGAAAUCCCCGGGCUCAACCUGGGAACUGCAUCCAAAACUGGCAAGCUAGAGUAUGGUAGAGGGUGGUGGAAUUUCCUGUGUAGCGGUGAAAUGCGUAGAUAUAGGAAGGAACACCAGUGGCGAAGGCGACCACCUGGACUGAUACUGACACUGAGGUGCGAAAGCGUGGGGAGCAAACAGGAUUAGAUACCCUGGUAGUCCACGCCGUAAACGAUGUCAACUAGCCGUUGGGAGCCUUGAGCUCUUAGUGGCGCAGCUAACGCAUUAAGUUGACCGCCUGGGGAGUACGGCCGCAAGGUUAGCCCGCACAAGCGGUGGAGCAUGUGGUUUAAUUCGAAGC